RNAcentral lists this ribosomal RNA (337 nucleotides) under uncultured fungus. RNAcentral describes it as "eukaryotic LSU rRNA". The stretch from base 1 to 124 matches the Rfam family "5.8S ribosomal RNA", at positions 31 to 154 of the family's 154-position model. Lineage: Eukaryota; Fungi. The record is from RNAcentral.
CAUCGAUGAAGAACGCAGCGAAAUGCGAUAAGUAAUGUGAAUUGCAGAAUUCAGUGAAUCAUCGAAUCUUUGAACGCACAUUGCGCCCGUCAGUAUUCUGGCGGGCAUGCCUGUUCGAGCGUCAUUUCAACCAUCAAGCCCCCAGGCUUGUGUUGGGGCACUGCGGCUGCCGCAGGCCCCUAAAAGCAGUGGCGGACUCGCUGUCAUACCGAGCGCAGUAACAUAUCUCGCUCAGGGCGUGGCGGCGGGCACCGGCCGUAAAACACACCAAACCUAAGGUUGACCUCGGAUCAGGUAGGAAUACCCGCUGAACUUAAGCAUAUCAAUAAGCGGAGGA